This is a non-coding RNA of Ictidomys tridecemlineatus (thirteen-lined ground squirrel), 447 nucleotides long. The record is from RefSeq and is a predicted model, not a curated record. NCBI's taxonomy places the organism in Eukaryota, Metazoa, Chordata, Mammalia, Rodentia, Sciuridae.
GGGGCGGGUCUCACUGCGCCUGCGCGGCAGGACGCGGCCGAUUGGCUGGGCCGUGAGGCCGGGCGGUCCCGGCAGUGCGGGAGCGGCGGGGCGGUGGCGGUGGCUGGCUCCGUGUGGUUUCUCGGCUGACCGCUUCCUGGGUCGUCGCCUUUUUCCCGUUCUCGGCUAGGUGGACCGUGUCACCCCCUCCGGUGUUCAUUGCUAAACCACUUCGCAGAGCUUUUCCUCUGGGUGACUUCCUCAGCUGGUCUCCACUCUCCCUGGCGCCUACAUAAGGGAAUACUCACUCACCCGGUGCGAAGACCGAGUUCCCAGAAGUGCUGAGACUAGGUUCAGGAGCUUGUCUGUGUGACCUUAGGACAGUGGCUCUCAGUGUUCUGUGUGAAACGGAAUGCUAAUGUGCAUUGCUGCUUUUUGAUAGAUGCUAAUGAAAAGUAUAUGAAAACA